This 401-nucleotide long non-coding RNA is filed under the name Salvator merianae (Argentine black and white tegu). RNAcentral describes it as "lncRNA (ENSSMRG00000005237.1)". Lineage: Eukaryota; Metazoa; Chordata; Lepidosauria; Squamata; Teiidae. The record is from RNAcentral.
AUUUGGAUGGAGCAAGACAUAGCAGCUCUUGCAGCAAUAGCAAAGGAAGCAAAUCAACUCCGAGCCACAGUGUCAACUCCACAAAAGAAAGUGACAACUCAAGCAGAGAAGAACCCCAGUCCUGCGAUCCCAGUAUCAACUGAACUAAAGAUUUCCAGGUUUAAAGAUCACAUCUACAUGACCACAGGGGAGACCAGUGCCCUUUAUGAUGGUGGGUCNACAGGUAAGGCAGAUAAAAAGAAGCAGUACCAAGGAUGAGAAUAGGCAGAGCUACUUCAGCCUAGCACUGUGCGACAGUUGAGGCUAAGANAACGAUUGGCUGAAGCUCAGCCAAUGAGCAUCCAUUAUUACUGAGAGGAUAUUUGAACCCUGUUCUCUGCACCUUAGUGCAACUCUUGAGU